Drosophila eugracilis is the source of this 759-nucleotide long non-coding RNA. RefSeq lists it as uncharacterized. NCBI's taxonomy places the organism in Eukaryota, Metazoa, Arthropoda, Insecta, Diptera, Drosophilidae. The transcript is spliced from 3 exons. The record is from RefSeq and is a predicted model, not a curated record.
GAUAUCAACAGCUUCCUGAGAUCAAAGCAACAACGAUGUCAUCAGAUGCCCACCUGCGAAAGCUAUAACGACAUGCUCCAGAGCCAAACCGUUUAUAUGACCGAUUAUAGACCUAUUUUAAGCUUGGGAAAUCAGUUUACUGAUACUUUUAACGGAGGGUGCUGCCGGGACAUGCCAUUGGGGUGCGGAGUUGCAGCCGGCUUUUUCUGCUUCUCUGAUCCGUGUCCUAUCAAUCCCUGGGAUAACGAUUGCCUCCCAAGCGUUGGCUGCCCUCCCCCCUGCACACCCAAUCACUGCUGCCUGCUACCACCUAGAACUCCGUGUUGCGAAGGUCAAUGUAACGACAUGUGCGGUGGCCGUUCCACCGGAAUAUAUGAAAUUGGCGGAAUUUGCAACGUGAGUCCCCAAUGUUGCUAUCAAAUUGGUCACCUUAGUCCCGGAUACUGCUGCAAUUGCCCAUGCGGGGCUCAGCCCGAUGCAUACUGCACGCAGCCAUCGUCAUACGGUCUAUGAGGUAAAUCAAGCCAACUCGUUCGAAAUACGGUUUGGAAUAAAUAAGUUUACAUUGACGGACAUGAGCGGGACAGAGCAGAAGACCACAAUCAAUAUGAAGUGAGAUCCUCGUGAUAAUAUAGAUACUAGUACAGAAAAUGAACGUUCCGGAUCUGAUGAAGAAAUCAUAAUUUGGGCCGAUAUAAGCUAUUUUAGAAUAUAAAUCAAUGAACAAUUAUUAAGAAGUUAGUAAAGCCAAAGCCUUAA